Molecule: unclassified non-coding RNA, 174 nt
Filed under: soil metagenome
Description: partial internal transcribed spacer 1
Source: RNAcentral
CGAAAGCGUUUUUUAAACAGCGCAAAAACCCACUGUGAACAUACCUGUUUGUUGCUUCGGCAGGCGGCCCCAGGGCGGGGCCAGCAGCCUGUAUUUUUUUUCAGGCGCCUGCCGGAGGCCACUUCAAACUCUUUUGUAUACGUACUGUCUGAGCCUAAAACAAAAAUACGUUUA